RNAcentral lists this ribosomal RNA (278 nucleotides) under uncultured bacterium. RNAcentral's name for it is "partial 16S ribosomal RNA". It matches the Rfam family "Bacterial small subunit ribosomal RNA", at positions 506 to 784 of the family's 1533-position model. The record is from RNAcentral.
UGCCAGCAGCCGCGGUAAUACGAAGGGUGCUAGCAUUAUUCGGAAUCAUUGGGCGUAAAGCGUAUGUAGGCGGCUUUGUAAGUUGGUUGUGAAAUCCCGGGGCUCAACCCGGGAAUUGCAUCAAAACUGCUUCGCUAAAGUAUAGUAGGGGGUAGUGGAAUUCCUAGUGUAGGGGUGAAAUCCGUAGAUAUUAGUAGGAACAUCAGCGGCGAAAGCGGCUAUCUUGGCUACUACUGACGCUGAGAUACGAAAGCGUGGGGAGCAAACAGGAUUAGAUA